RNAcentral lists this small RNA (28 nucleotides) under Bombyx mori (domestic silkworm). RNAcentral's name for it is "ovarian small RNA-28152". The record is from RNAcentral. Lineage: Eukaryota; Metazoa; Arthropoda; Insecta; Lepidoptera; Bombycidae.
UCGAACCUCAUCAAAAACUCCUGCCGCU